This 6535-nucleotide long non-coding RNA is filed under the name Sus scrofa (pig). RNAcentral describes it as "lncRNA (ENSSSCG00065021545.1)". Lineage: Eukaryota; Metazoa; Chordata; Mammalia; Artiodactyla; Suidae. The record is from RNAcentral.
GGCAACAGAUGCAGGGUCUCUGUUGGGAGGCGACAGGGGAUGGUGGAGACUGGGGUGAACAGAGAACAGGUGCUGAUCCAUCCACCUGAAGUUGACAACAACCUCACCUUGGCUCUAGGCAGUCAUUUCCACAGUGUUCCUGGAUAAUCUCAUAUGUCAGGAGAAGCUGUAAAUUCAGAAAUCAUGGAAAACCCUGAUUUCGAGAUCGUUUCAAAUGAUCCCCCCCUGCCUUAUUUUCCACCCUGCCAGCACUGUUGGGCAGGCCCGGCCACCAGUUUGGGACCUCUGAUUUACAUGCCAGACUUUUCCCCAGUGAGGCAAAUAGGUAAAUUUAUCUAAAAAUUGCAAGGAGACCUGGCUGCUUUUCAUUAAAAAGAAGCUGUUUGCAUCUUGUUUUUAUUCGCUAACAUUUGCUUCCCAUUGUCCUGCUUCCAAUCUGAGUGGGAACCCCAGGGUUGCUAUUAUUAAUCUGUGCCUGGAUCCCAGCUUCGUGUGGCAUAAGCACUUCUGCAGUUUGCCUUGAACUCUGUAUAACGGGCUUUUUAUUUUCCUGCAGGAGUGGUUUAAAUGGAGGCUGCAGUCUUCUGCAAGGCAUAAUUGGUUUUAAAUUGUAGGUUUAAUAAUAAUGAUGUUGGGCUUAAUGGGGUGCCUUUCAGCUUCUGCCGGCAGCCCUUGGCAACCAGUCACUCAUCGAUCCGUGUACGCACUCUCCUCAGGAGGGGACAGCUGUCAGGGCGGGGCUGAGUCCCUCAGCCCAUCCUGAAAUGGGCUACAAGGAUGAGGGGCUCAAAUGCCUGCUGUAGCUGUGGCCUCUGAAGGAGAGGGAAGCCAUAGGCACCCCCUCGUGCCCCGGGUGUGGGGGCCCGAGGCUAGACUUUCAGGGCCCUUGGUUGUCUUUUUCCUCUCUUUGUCCACCUUUGGGUCACCCCACAGCUCAUUAGGAAUGCUUUGGGAAGAUGAGCAGAGGAAUUUAAAUUCCACAGUUUGGCUUCUGUGCAGAAGGUUUAAUUGAGAGGCUACAUUAACCUAAUUGGUUAUCAUCAAGCAUCUAGCUUCUUUCUAUAUUUUAAGUCACUUCUUUUCGUUUCAUUUUACCGUGGCCAAUAGAGCGUGCCUUUAAAAGAUUAAGGCUUGUACUUUGGUCUCUUUGAGUGAAAAGAGCUUUGGUUCAGAAAUCAGCCAGGAUUCCAACGAUGACUCCUUCUAGAAUGACCUGCAUGAACGUACACGCGAUAGUCACUUCUCUUAGCCUCGUUUCCAAAGCCUUGGAUGGAUGAGGAGAUCAAAUUACAUGACCACGCAUGUCCCUUCCAGUGCUUGCGACAGAUGCCUUCGGUGUUUCUGUGAAAUGACACCAAACUCCACCUUGGUUGACAUUUGGUGGGUUUCAAAAGUCAAUAAAAAUACCAAUCUACAUAUGUUAUACAACAGACUAACUGAGGCUUGGACAAGUGAGGGCUUGUUCAGCAAAAACUCAGCGUUUAUGUUAUAAAAAGCACAGAGAAGGAUGUUGGUGUCGUGUGAUGUGGGGCAUCCUGCUUGAAAAUUACAGGCAGCACAGUCAAUGACAGGGUAGCAGCACCCGCGGCCGGCUGACGAGCGCCCUUUGGAGGUUUCUCAGGGUCCGCCCUAGGGACAAAGCACAGACGUUCAGAACUGGCGGUCUAGCUCACCAUCGAUGACAAGCAGCUCCUCAUCUGUGUCGGGAUCUGAACUGCCUUGGCUUCGACCACUGUUUCUGGAUGGCUCUUUGUUUUUGUUGUAAACAGGAGCAAAUUAUAACAUGGGAAGAAUGGAAAUAGGAAGGGCGUUUUUUUGUUUCGUUUUGUCUUUUUGUCCUUUUAGGGCUGCACCCGAGGCAUAUGGAAGUUCCCAGGCUAAGGGGUCUAAUCGGAGCUGUAGCUGCCGGCCUACGCCAGGGACACAGCAACGUGGGAUCCGAGCUGCGUCUGCAACCUACACCACAGUUCAUGGCAAUGCCGGAUCCUUAACCCACUGAGCAAGGGCAGGGAUCAAACCUGCAACCUCAUGGUUCCUAGUCAUAUUUGUUAACACUGUGCCACGAUGGGAACUCCUGGACCAACGUUUUGAAGGAAGUGGUGCCCCAGAGUGUGAAGGUGGCACACAGGGAAUACCCACUUUUGUACAAAUGUCACCUGCAAAAAGCUGAUCAGACAGCUGCAUGCAGCCUCCCUUGCUCCUCUUUUGGGCACGCUUUGUUCCCGGAGGCUCCAGAUCCACGCAUCAGCAGACUUGAGCGCUGUGUCACUUUCACUUUUUUUCUUGAUCUUUAGGUGCUGUGUUGUAUUUUUUGGCAGGGAAAAAAAAAUGGACAACCGAAGUUAGGUUUUGUUCUCUCAAAGUAAACUCCUUAAAAAGGAUGAAGCUAAUGUGAAUGAUAGAUUCAGCGGAGAGGGAAACCACGUCGUUUUCCCCCGCAACCCCACUGGCCCCAGAAUCAAUUUGCCCACCUCUCUGUGAAAUGAGCUUCCAGUGGCAGAUAUUAGCAGCUAGUGAAGGCAAUCUGGCCUUUGAGAGGAGAGGAAGAGCUGGCUGGACUACGAGGCUGCUCUGAAGAGCUAGACGUGGCCACAAACAACUGCCCACGCUGACACCAAUUCUGAGAAGUAGGGUCAAAAUUUUGAGGUCUACAGAUUAGCUGCAUAAGGCUAUUGUCUUUAGAUUUCGUAGGAAGGCUGGACUACUAUGUUGCUGGCCACUAAGGUGUCAAUGGCUGUGAUUGAGACCUUCACAUGCAACCUCGGCUGUGCAGGAAUGGGACAUGGAAUAGGUUAGUUCUGAUGGGGAAAGGCAAGGACAGCACUCGCAGAAGGUGAGUUCAGGUGAAGCAUGGCAGGGAGAGGCAGCCAGGUGCCUCCAGGACCUGGCGUGUGUCUGCAUGUGCCUGUGCAGAGCUCAAGGUCAGAUGCUUGCUUACUGUUGACAGAAGAGACCUUCAGGGAUGAGGCCUGGGGUUACGAUGGGGUUAAGAAACGUUCAGAGUUUUUCUAAGGCCAGUUGCACAAAAGCUGUCAGCUCUCUGAGGGUAAGGACCAUUUCCUCUUUUCAUCAUCACAUCCCCAGCGUCUACCAACUGAUAUAACUACUCAUUACUAUUUAGCAGAUAAUUAGGUAAAAGGAAGGGGAGAGAAACUUGGGAAGACCUCACACUAGUGCUGAUCAGCAUUCCAUUGGCCCACUAGGGAUUCUGUGGCUGCCGAGGCACUGUGGCCAGGUCAGCCAUGGGGACCCUCUAGUGGGGGACCAGUACAAGAACCGACCUCCUCUGGAUGCUUGAAGCAGAAAAAAUAUUUAUUGAAAGGACGUUGGGCAGCCCACAGAGCCAGCAGGGCCUGCAGGGGGAGUCCAGGUAGACUGCGGGAAGACAGCCAGGCGGCUCACGGGGCUGGUCCGGGGACCUUGGGCUGACUCCACACCCGCAGCACAGCUGUGUAUCCCUGACAUUGUCCUGCUGCUUCUGGCCCCUCAGUGCUGCCCCCUGCAGAGAACUCCUUCGAAAGGACUCCUAGAUCCCAAGUCCAAGGGGAGAAGGGCCAGGCCUCCCCCCACUGGUGGGCUUGGGUCCUGACUGUCCCUGCAAUGGCCAGCCUGCUGGGAAGCAGGCACUGCCUUACGUAGGACAUGGGGGAGCCCCUCCUUCCAAGCCGAUGAAGUAGGGUGGCCAUGCUGGGUGGCCAAGAAAAAGACACAGUGUCCCCUGGGGGCAGGAGCCGGAAGAACCCUCAGUGUGAUGAGUAAUCCGGUUAAUUAAGCAAAUAUGAAGAAACAAAACAAAAAUAGCACUGUGUGCAUUUUAGAAUUUCACUUUGUGUCAAAUCAGGCAUGACAAGGGCCAGCAGGUUACAGUGUAUUCAGAAUAUGUUAAUGGCAGUUCCCAGGGGCUAUGACAGCUCAUUGGCUGACAUGAAUGAUGUGACAUUCUUAAGGAAAAGUCUCAAAGUGAAAGAGAAUGUCAAGGUGGCUUUGCUGUUGGUUCAGCCCCACCAGAGCAUCAGAGAGCUUUUCCAAGUCUGGGUGAGCAUGAGGUGAGCCCUGACUCUGCCCCUUUCCUCCCCAGGAGCCAUGGGCUGUGCGGGGCUGUGGUUUUCCUGGAGCCCCAUGUCACAAGGAGCCAGCCAGGCCGUCAACCCAGCCCCGCACCCUAUAAAGUGCUCUGGCUUCUGAGGGUGAAUUAACUCUUGUUUUUAUUGUGCCAUUAAUUCCAGCUCCUGCCUGUCUCCCUAAUGCAUUCCACAUGCCUGGUCCCUUCUGCCCGCAGCUGUCACUGCCCAGGCCGGGGGCUUGCUCGGCUGUCCCUUGCGGCUUGUCAGCCUGUCUGCUGGCAGUUCUGUCCACCUCCCAAGAGAGGUGCCUCCCCUCCUCCUUUCUUGGCCAUGGUAGAGUCUAGGCUUUUUGAGGGCCUGGACUUCAGGGCACUUGUAUUUAAUUUAAUUAAUUUAUUUAUUUAUUUAUGCCUUUUUAAGGGCCAUACCUGCGGUACAUGGGAGUUCCCAGGCUAGGGGUCCAUUGGAGCUGCAGCUGCCGGCCUACACCGCAGCCACAGCAACACUGGAUCCGAGCUACAUCCGUAAUCUACACCUCAGCUGGUGGCAAUGCUGGAUCCUUAACUCACUGAGCAAGGCCAGGGAUUGAACCUGCUUCCUCAUGGAUAUUAGUUGGGUUCUUAACCUGCUGGAGCCACAGAGGAAAUUCCCAAGGCACUUGUAUUUUAUACCUUUCCUGAACCUGACACUUAGCUGGGGCUCAACAAAUUCUUUUCAAAUUAGCUGAAAGGUGAAGAGGUGAACUUAUCUGACAUGUCUGGACCAGCUUUUUUAGGGGGUACCUGGUAUUAUCUGUGGAUGGCUUUUUUGGGUUGCAGAUUUUGAGGACCUUUUGUGUAAAGGUGUGAAGAGAAGGGUUGGCUACAAGGCACUGGAACAUGGCUUAAAAGGCAGAUGUUCUGCUCCCCUGAAGAUUUCAAAGGCAUGUAUGAGCAGCAGUCAACCCAACUUAACCAAUUGACAAGUAGCUGGAUGGAUGCUUGUGGGAUGGAUAGAAGAAAAGUAAACAACUUUGUAUUUUAAUAAAUUUUUUUACUUAAAAAAACAAAACAAACAAACAAAACAAAUUCUUUUCAGUCAGUGAAAGAUUCAAAGCGCCUUGGAAGGCAGGUGCCACCGCUCGGGGAGAGCAAGGGCUGGGAGUCUUCCCAGUGGAGGUGGUGGUGGGUCGGGCCACCUUUCAGCCAAGGUGCCGAGUGAUGGGACAUCCCAGAGCUUGGCAGAUGUGCGGGGCCUGGGAGGGGACAGUGGAGGAGGGCUCCGCGCUCUGAUCUGGAGGGGCAGCUCCCUGGGCAGCACGCUGUGCUUGCGUGGCUCCUGGGCUGGGGAAGGGGCAGAUGAUGGGAGGGUGACGGCCGCCCGGAGGAUGUACCACCUCACAGGUGGGCCCCAGACAGACCUGCUCGAUACAGUCCCAUAAUCGUGUCAGCUUCAAGUGGGAAAUCCUCUCAUUUUGAGUUUUCCAAAAUGUGUACUUUCGGGAGUCUUCCUUCCCUGUCUCCCUUCCUGCCUUCUUCUUUCUCUCCCUCCCUCCUUCCCUGCCUGGACUCCCUCCUCUCCUCCCUUCCUGCCCUCCCCACCCAUCCUUCCUCUCUCCCUCCCGCCUUCCCUCCCUUCCUUCCUUCCUCUUUCCCUUCCCUUUCUAACUUUCCCCUUCUAUCUUCUCUCCAAAAGCAGAAGGGCAGAAAUGGCACCCCUGGGGGAUAAAUGUGUCCAUUUCAGAAUUUGCCCAUUUCCUCCUGAAGUAUGGAAAGCCUACAGUCUCUGCCUUAAAAACGAAAUGCUAGAGGAGUUCCCGUCAUGGCUCAGUGGUUAAGGAACCCGACUGGUAUCCAUGAGGAUGCGGGUUCGAUCCCGGGCCUCACUCAGUGGGUUAAGGAUCUGGCUUCGCCGUGAGCUGUGGUGUAGGUCACAGACCCGGCUCAGAUCUGGUGUUGCUGUGGCUGUGAUGUAGGCUGGCAGCUGUAGCUCUGAUCUGACCGCUAGCCUGGGAACUUCCAUAUGCUGUGAGGGCGGCCGUAAAAAGACAGGGAAAAAAAAAAAGCCAGAGUGUCAGGGCAAGAGCUCCACUCUUCCUUAACCGCCUCCCACCCCUCCCUCCUCUCGCUCCCCACGGGUUCUCUCAUUACAGUCUGUUCCUGGUCCUGCCUGACUGUUCCCCACGUCUUCCUCCUCCUCCACCUCAGUUUCCAGCAGGUUCUCACCCUCUCUGAGCCAUUAGCUUUGCCCCAGUUCUAACCCCGUUAGCAAGACUCUUACAAGCCGUGAUCAGCGAACCCCCACGCCAGAACUAAUCAUCAGCCCCCACCUCCCUUUGUCUGUGCCCACCCACUCCCCCACCUUCUUACUCUACCGUCUCCAUUGUUGUUAUUCCUGGAUGCCUGGGAGGGAACAGCGUGAGCUAGCUGCUGCAGAGUCAACAUGUAUUGGGACCACCCUACUCACAGCCACAGUUUUAAAAAGGAUGCAUU